CGCGUAGGCGGUCGGGUCAGUCGGAUGUGAAAGCCCUGGGCUUAACCUAGGAAUUGCAUUCGAUACUGCUCGACUAGAGUAUGGGAGAGGGAAGUGGAAUUUCCGGUGUAGCGGUGAAAUGCGUAGAUAUCGGAAGGAACACCAGUGGCGAAGGCGACUUCCUGGCCCAAUACUGACGCUCAGGUGCGAAAGCGUGGGUAGCAAACAGGAUUAGAUACCCUGGUAGUCC
This 229-nucleotide ribosomal RNA is filed under the name uncultured bacterium. RNAcentral describes it as "partial 16S ribosomal RNA". It matches the Rfam family "Bacterial small subunit ribosomal RNA", at positions 568 to 796 of the family's 1533-position model. The record is from RNAcentral.